RNAcentral lists this ribosomal RNA (258 nucleotides) under Triticum aestivum (bread wheat). RNAcentral describes it as "partial small subunit ribosomal RNA". The record is from RNAcentral. Lineage: Eukaryota; Viridiplantae; Streptophyta; Magnoliopsida; Poales; Poaceae.
AUGUCGAGCCGCCGUGGCAGGAUCACCGACGAGGAGAUCAACGAGCUCAUCUCCAAGCUCCAGGCGCUGCUCCCGGAAUCAUCCCGCCGCCGCUCCGCGAGCCGGUCGUCGGCGUCGAAGCUACUGAAGGAGACGUGCGGCUACAUCAAGAGCCUCCACCAGGAGGUGGACGAUCUGUCUGACAGGCUCUCUGAGCUAAUGUCGACCUUGGACGAGAGCAGCCCCCAGGCCGAGAUCAUCCGGAGCCUUCUCCGCUAG